AUACGUAGCGGGCGAGCGUUGUCCGGAAUGAUUGGGCGUAAAGGGCGCGUAGGCGGCGCGGUAAGUCUGGAGUGAAAGUCCUGCUUUCAAGGUGGGAAUUGCUUUGGAUACUGCCGCGCUUGAGUGCAGGAGAGGUUAUCGGAAUUCCCGGUGUAGCGGUGAAAUGCGUAGAGAUCGGGAGGAACACCAGUGGCGAAGGCGGGUAACUGGACUGCAACUGACGCUGAGGCGCGAAAGUGUGGGGAGCAAACAGGAUUAGAUACCCUGGUAGUCCACACUGUAAACGAUGAAUGCUAGGUGUAGGAGGUAUCGACCCCUUUUGUGCCGGAGUCAACACAAUAAGCAUUCCGCCUGGGGAGUACGGCCGCAAGGUUGAAACUUAAAGGAAUUGACGGGG
This 397-nucleotide ribosomal RNA is filed under the name uncultured bacterium. RNAcentral's name for it is "partial 16S ribosomal RNA". It matches the Rfam family "Bacterial small subunit ribosomal RNA", at positions 523 to 918 of the family's 1533-position model. The record is from RNAcentral.